CCUACGGGUGACAGCAGUGAGGAAUAUUGGUCAAUGGACGAGAGUCUGAACCAGCCAAGUAGCGUGAAGGAUGACUGCCCUAUGGGUUGUAAACUUCUUUUAUAUGGGAAUAAAAUGUUCCACGUGUGGGAUUUUGUAUGUACCAUAUGAAUAAUGAUCGGCUAACUCCGUGCCAGCAGCCGCGUUAAUACGGAUGAUACGAGCGUUAUCCGGAUUUAUUGGGUUUAAAGGGAGCGUAGGUGGAUUGUUAAGUCAGUUGUGAAAGUUUGCGGCUCAACCGUAAAAUUGCAGUUGAAACUGGCAGUCUUGAGUACAGUAGAGGUGGGCGGAAUUCGUGGUGUAGCGGUGAAAUGCUUAGAUAUCACGAAGAACUCCGAUUGCGAAGGCAGUUCACUGGACUGCAACUGACACUGAGGCUCGAAAGUGUGGGUAUCAAACAGGAUUAGAUACCCUUGUAGUC
Molecule: ribosomal RNA, 460 nt
Filed under: uncultured bacterium
Lineage: Bacteria
Description: partial 16S ribosomal RNA
Rfam family: Bacterial small subunit ribosomal RNA
Source: RNAcentral